GGAGGCCAGUGUGGAGGGCGUGUACAGAGGCAGACGGCACUAGUGGUUAAGCUGUGCGCGUUCAGAGUGUUGGCGAGUCGAUGAGGAUAGUAUGGAGGCCUUCAGUGUCGUUAGAGAGAAGGUGCAUCGCCUCGUGUCUCGUGUUCACGGAGUGGAUUGGUGGUGGCGAGGGUGGCGGGUGGUGGGCAUGCGCGAUCACGGCUGUGAGCUGAGAGCCUCUCAGAGUAUAGGCGACUGGAGUCCCUAAGCCAUGAAGUGAAUGGCGUGUGGCGGUGUGGUGAAGCGUGGCGUGUCCCUCGAUCUGGUGCUGAGCGCGGUACUUGGUUUUGACUUACUGCCUAAACACGGGCUUACUGAUGGCUGUGACACGCACCAAGGGCGAUAAUGGCGAUGCCAGGAAGGAAAACCUGUGCUAAGUUCUGAGGUGCGGUGACAAAAUUGCUGUGUUGUGAGUGAAUAAAAUUCGUUCCGUAAGCCGCGGCCGCCUGUCACUGAUGUUCUGCUGUUACGUUGUUGUUGCCGUGAUUCAGUUACACAGUGAAAGAGAUCGUCGUGAUCCCAGUGCAGUACUGUAAUGCCGUGCUGCCGGGAGUGUUGCCGUGCUGCCUUGCUGCCAGGAAGUGCUGUCGUGUGCUGGGAAGUGUUGCCGCGCUGCCGGCAGGAGUAAGUGGACCUGCUGGUGGACUACAGGCUGAACACAAGCAUUGACAAGCAGUACAGGGCAUUUCAUGAUGACUUCUGCAGGGUGUGGGACGGUAUUGUGCUCAAACUUUUCCAGCCAAUGGAACUUAUGGAUUUGGUCACCGGCAAUGAAAAUUAUUUCUGGACUGAGUUGGAAAAGAAUGCUGAAUAUAAGAUUAAGUUAGUUAAGGGUGAGUACUUCCCAGACCAUCCAGUCACUCGCACGUGCUUGGAAGUCUUUCGUGAGCUCUCGCUGGAACAGAAAAUGUUUUCAAGUUUCUGACGGGGACUCACCAGGUUCUUCUACUAGGCAUG
Long non-coding RNA from Scylla paramamosain (green mud crab), 996 nucleotides. RefSeq lists it as uncharacterized. The record is from RefSeq and is a predicted model, not a curated record. The transcript has 4 exons. NCBI's taxonomy places the organism in Eukaryota, Metazoa, Arthropoda, Malacostraca, Decapoda, Portunidae.